CUCAUCCACACUGUCUGUUGUGCUGCAGUAUGUUGCUGUGAGUGUAACCACCAUUCUGAUUAUUGUAUCAGGGAGUAUUUUGAUUUGGUGCUGGAAAAAGAAAACCAAUAGACCAACAGAUCCAACUGCUGCUGAUGACUGUGAAAUUCCAGAGACAAACAGACUGUAUGAGGAGAUCCCAGCUCAGAUCAGACCUGGUCCUGUGGAAAACUGUACUUCUUUUUCUUC
Molecule: long non-coding RNA, 228 nt
Organism: Boleophthalmus pectinirostris (great blue-spotted mudskipper)
Lineage: Eukaryota; Metazoa; Chordata; Actinopteri; Gobiiformes; Gobiidae
Exons: 4
Source: RefSeq, a predicted model, not a curated record